AAGAAGUCAGGCCGAUUUAAGCCAUAGUACGGUAAGAGCUAUGCUGCCUGUGAGCCCCGUCCAAGGACGUAAAAUGAAGUCAGGCCGAAAGCCACGGCUUGAGCAAACCGUGCUGCCUGUGGCUCCAUCGUGGGGAUGUAAAACCCGGGAGGCUGCAACCCAUGGAAGCUGUACGCAUGGGGUAGCAGACUAGUGGUUAGAGGAGACCCCUCCCAAGAUACNNNNNNNNNGCGGGGCCCAACAC
This 244-nucleotide long non-coding RNA is filed under the name dengue virus type 1. Its description in RNAcentral is "Dengue virus 1 partial sfRNA1". The stretch from base 148 to 219 matches the Rfam family "Flavivirus DB element". Lineage: Riboviria; Orthornavirae; Kitrinoviricota; Flasuviricetes; Amarillovirales; Flaviviridae. The record is from RNAcentral.